RNAcentral lists this ribosomal RNA (995 nucleotides) under uncultured bacterium. RNAcentral's name for it is "bacterial SSU rRNA". It matches the Rfam family "Bacterial small subunit ribosomal RNA", at positions 11 to 994 of the family's 1533-position model. The record is from RNAcentral.
GUUUGAUCCUGGCUCAGAUUGAACGCUGGCAGUAUGCUUAACACAUGCAAGUCGAACGGUAACAGCGGAAGCUUGCUUCUGGCUGACGAGUGGCGGACGGGUGAGUAACGCGUAGGAAUCUGCCUGGUAGUGGGGGACAACCUGGGGAAACUCAGGCUAAAACCGCAUACGCCUUACGGGGGAAAGUGGGGGACCUUCGGGCCUCACGCUAUCAGAUGAGCCUGCGUUGGAUUAGCUAGUUGGUAAGGUAACGGCUUACCAAGGCAACGAUCCAUAGCUGUUCUGAGAGGAAGAUCAGCCACACUGGGACUGAGACACGGCCCAGACUCCUACGGGAGGCAGCAGUGGGGAAUAUUGGACAAUGGGGGCAACCCUGAUCCAGCAAUACCACGUGUGUGAAGAAGGCCUGCGGGUUGUAAAGCACUUUCAAUUGGGAAGAAAAGGCUAGUGUUAAUAGCGCUGGUUCUUGACGUUACCUUUAGAAGAAGCACCGGCUAACUCCGUGCCAGCAGCCGCGGUAAUACGGAGGGUGCAAGCGUUAAUCGGAAUUACUGGGCGUAAAGCGCGCGUAGGCGGUUUGUUAAGUCAGAAGUGAAAGCCCUGGGCUCAACCUGGGAAUUGCUUGUGAUACUGGCAGGCUAGAGUAUGGUAGAGGGUGGUGGAAUUCCAGGUGUAGCGGUGAAAUGCGUAGAGAUCUGGAGGAACAUCAGUGGCGAAGGCGGCCACCUGGACCAAUACUGACGCUGAGGUGCGAAAGCGUGGGUAGCAAACAGGAUUAGAUACCCUGGUAGUCCACGCUGUAAACGAUGUCAACUAGCCGUUGGGUUCAUAAAAGAGCUUAGUGGCGCAGCUAACGCGAUAAGUUGACCGCCUGGGGAGUACGGCCGCAAGGUUAAAACUCAAAGGAAUUGACGGGGGCCCGCACAACCGGUGGACCAUGUGGUUUAAUUCAAUGCAACGCGAAAAAACCUUACCAGUCCUUUGAAAUCCUUGGA